CCUCCCAUAGAAUUCACCUAUAGAUUGCAAAUCUCUCUCGCCAUGCUAAGAUUAUCUUUCUUACUACCAAUUCUUUCUAGGCUUCGUCAUUUCUUUCCUAACGUCUUCUGAUUCCACUUUGAGACAACCCAGCACUCUGGAAUCUUUGCUGCAACUUCUCCAAUGAACAGAUGUUCCUUUCCAUCCUCUUAACAAGAUGUCCACCCAAACAUAUCAGAACAAGUGGUUGCAGGCAAGCAAAGCAUGUGAUAGUGCCCCUGUGGUGUUCAGAUGGCUCAGAAGAUGUAUGUGGUUCAAGAUUGGACGGGGAGUGGCAGACCUCCACGUUGGCCAGUGAGGUGAGUGGCUGUGGCAGAGGGGAUGAUGGGUCCAAACCUUCUUCUCAGACUCUUCCAUGAGGUGAUGGAAGUCUUGAAUAGGAAAGCAAGGAAUCAAGAUCUCAGAGGCUAAGCUCUGCACCUUACUUACAGGGAUCUUAACCUGUUGUCCUGAUAUUUCCCAAAUAGGAGCAUUUACUAAACAAGAAU
Molecule: long non-coding RNA, 527 nt
Filed under: Monodelphis domestica (gray short-tailed opossum)
Lineage: Eukaryota; Metazoa; Chordata; Mammalia; Didelphimorphia; Didelphidae
Description: lncRNA (ENSMODG00000033771.2)
Source: RNAcentral